GAAAGAAGAGACUGUCAAGUUAGCCAAAGGAGACUGCCUGAGAACCCUAAAUAACCAGAGCUGUCCUCUUGGAAUUAGGAGGCAGGCAGGCAAGUCAUCCUUGGCUACCAAACAAGACUCUUAUCU
This is a microRNA precursor of Prunus persica (peach), 126 nucleotides long. NCBI's taxonomy places the organism in Eukaryota, Viridiplantae, Streptophyta, Magnoliopsida, Rosales, Rosaceae. The record is from Rfam.